Molecule: ribosomal RNA, 458 nt
Filed under: uncultured bacterium
Lineage: Bacteria
Description: partial 16S ribosomal RNA
Rfam family: Bacterial small subunit ribosomal RNA
Source: RNAcentral
CCUACGGGAGGCAGCAGUGAGGAAUAUUGGUCAAUGGGCGAAAGCCUGAACCAGCCAAGUCGCGUGAGGGAGUACUGCCCUAUGGGUUGUAAACCUCUUUUGUCGGGGGGCAAAAGCCGGACGUGUCCGGCUGUGAGAGUACCCGGAGCAAAAGCAUCGGCUAAAUCCGUGCCAACAGCCGCGGUAAUACGGGGGAUGCGAGCGUUAUCCGGAUUUAUUGGGUUUAAAGGGUGCGCAGGCGGAUUUUUAAGUCAGCGGUCAAAGCGUGGGGCUCAAACCCAUCCAGCCGUUGAAACUGGGGAUCUAGAGUGGGCGAGAGGUAUGCGGAAUGCGGGGUGGAGCGGUGAAAUGCAUAGAUAUCACGCAGAACCCCGAUUGCGAAGGCAGCAUACCGGUGCAAAACUGACGCUCAGGCACGAAAGCGUGGGUAUCGAACAGGAUUAGAUACCCGUGUAGUC